Molecule: non-coding RNA, 214 nt
Organism: Patagioenas fasciata monilis
Lineage: Eukaryota; Metazoa; Chordata; Aves; Columbiformes; Columbidae
Source: Rfam
GUGCAUGCUGGGCUAUAAUUUAUGAAACGGAGCCCAGGAAACAACCAAUCACUUAGCUCCUCCUAACAAGUCCAACUGGCUAUGAAAAGCUGGAAGUGCUGCACAGAACAAUGAAGAGGAGCUAUCCCACAUAUUAAUCUGCUUAUCUGGGAUUGCUUUCUGUUUAGAGAGAGGGAAGCCUGUAACAAGGAGAGAGAAAAAAAAAAAAAAAAAA